This is a long non-coding RNA of Hyaena hyaena (striped hyena), 404 nucleotides long. RefSeq lists it as uncharacterized. The record is from RefSeq and is a predicted model, not a curated record. The transcript has 3 exons. NCBI's taxonomy places the organism in Eukaryota, Metazoa, Chordata, Mammalia, Carnivora, Hyaenidae.
UCACAGAAUUCUCACGUGAAAGAGGGAGGCCGAGGAGGGAGAACCAGACACCUGGCACCUGAGAGCCUGGGCUGCCAUUGCUGGCUUUGAAGAUGAAGGACAGCAGCCACGAGUCAGAAAAUGGGAGUGGUUUCUAGAAGCCGGAAAAGGCAAGGAGAUACACUGGAUUCUGUUCACUGACCUUUUCUAUAUGGAUGCUUCUGGAUGAGGCCUGUCAUGCCAGCUGAAAGGCAAAAUGCAGAGCAGCCACUAGUAGGUAAUUAGAGGAAUAAGACCUUCAAGAGUGCUCAUAUGCCAUAAUCAAUUGAAAAAUCUGCUUACUGUUACCGGGAGCAUAAAUGCCAAGAUUUGGUAUUCAAUUUGGUCUAUAUUCACGAAGGAUCAAGAGAAUUAGCAGCAGUGUU